Phrynosoma platyrhinos (Desert horned lizard) is the source of this 72-nucleotide non-coding RNA. NCBI's taxonomy places the organism in Eukaryota, Metazoa, Chordata, Lepidosauria, Squamata, Phrynosomatidae. The record is from the annotation of a GenBank genome assembly.
GCCAGCAUGGUGUGGUGGUUAGUGCAUUAGCCUAAGAUUCUGGAGACCAGGGUUCAAAUCCCAGCUCAGCCA